Molecule: microRNA precursor, 120 nt
Filed under: Olea europaea subsp. europaea
Lineage: Eukaryota; Viridiplantae; Streptophyta; Magnoliopsida; Lamiales; Oleaceae
Source: RNAcentral
GGCAGCAAGCUGCUGCCUUAUAUUAAGGCAGCAGCCAGUUCGCUGCCUUAAAAGGCAGCCAGUUCGCUGCCUUUUAAGGCAACCAGCUGCUGCCUUAUAUUAAGGCAGCAGCUUGCUGCC